RNAcentral lists this unclassified non-coding RNA (247 nucleotides) under Frankliniella xanthaner. RNAcentral describes it as "partial contains large subunit ribosomal RNA (rrnL); may also contain tRNA-Leu (trnL)". The stretch from base 1 to 123 matches the Rfam family "Bacterial large subunit ribosomal RNA", at positions 2520 to 2643 of the family's 2925-position model. Lineage: Eukaryota; Metazoa; Arthropoda; Insecta; Thysanoptera; Thripidae. The record is from RNAcentral.
GCUACCUCGAUGUUGAAUUAAGAAAAGUUCUAAUAGAAAAAAAUUAGAAAAUAGGUCUGUUCGACCUUUAAAUUCUUACAUGAUUUGAGUUAAGACCGGCGCAAGCCAGGUUGGUUUCUAUCUUUAAAAUAAAAGGUUUUAUAGUACGAAAGGACCUAAAACCAUAACAUAUUUAUAAUUAAUUAGCUUACUAAAAGCAAGUAUUUUGAAAAUACUAGAAAGAUAUAAAAAUUUAUUAAUUUUAUGU